This is a non-coding RNA of Canis lupus familiaris (dog), 106 nucleotides long. NCBI's taxonomy places the organism in Eukaryota, Metazoa, Chordata, Mammalia, Carnivora, Canidae. The record is from Rfam.
AGGAGGAACAACCCCAGUGGCGGCGGCCAGCUCUGGAGCCCUGGAGUCAGCUCCCGCAGUGACUACAGAGCUCUCCGUCUGCAGGGCCUGGAGGCUCCAGGGCGGG